GAACGGUAACAUAAAAGUGCUUGCACUUUGCUGACGAGUGGCGCACGGGUGCGCAACGCGUAUAGAACCUACCCUGUACAGGGGGAUAGCCCGGAGAAAUCCGGAUUAAUACCCCGUAGUAAUUAGAUUUGGCAUCGGAUUUAAUUUAAAGCUUCGGCGGUACAGGAUGGCUAUGCGUCCUAUUAGCCAGAUGGUGAGGUAACGGCUCACCAUAGCUAUGAUAGGUAGGGGCCCUGAGAGGGGGAUCCCCCACACUGGUACUGAGACACGGACCAGACUCCUACGGGAGGCAGCAGUGAGGAAUAUUGGACAAUGGGCACACGCCUGAUCCAGCCAUGCCGCGUGCAGGAAGACGGCCCUAUGGGUUGUAAACUGCUUUUAUACGGGAAGAAUAAGGGGUACGUGUACCCUGGUGACGGUACCGUAAGAAUAAGGACCGGCUAACUCCGUGCCAGCAGCCGCGGUAAUACGGAGGGUCCGAGCGUUAUCCGGAAUUAUUGGGUUUAAAGGGUCCGCAGGCGGGCGAUUAAGUCAGGGGUGAAAUGGUACGGCUCAACCGUAGCACUGCCCUUGAUACUGGUUGCCUUGAGUCAUAGUGGAGUGGCCGGAAUAUGUAGUGUAGCGGUGAAAUGCAUAGAUAUUACAUAGAACANCGAUCGCGAANGCAGGUCACUACUAUCGACUGACGCUGAUGGNACGAAAGCGUGGGGAGCGAACGGNAUUANAUACCCCGGGUAGUCCNCGCCGUAACGAUGGAUACUAGCUGUCCGCU
This 772-nucleotide ribosomal RNA is filed under the name uncultured bacterium. Its description in RNAcentral is "bacterial SSU rRNA". It matches the Rfam family "Bacterial small subunit ribosomal RNA", at positions 64 to 828 of the family's 1533-position model. The record is from RNAcentral.